This 1372-nucleotide ribosomal RNA is filed under the name uncultured bacterium. RNAcentral's name for it is "bacterial SSU rRNA". It matches the Rfam family "Bacterial small subunit ribosomal RNA", at positions 28 to 1381 of the family's 1533-position model. The record is from RNAcentral.
GAUGAACGCUGGCGGCGUGCCUAAUACAUGCAAGUCGAGCGAACGGACGAGAAGCUUGCUUUUCUGAUGUUAGCGGCGGACGGGUGAGUAACACGUGGAUAACCUACCUAUAAGACUGGGAUAACUUCGGGAAACCGGAGCUAAUACCGGAUAAUAUUUUGAACCGCAUGGUUCAAAAGUGAAAGACGGUCUUGCUGUCACUUAUAGAUGGAUCCGCGCUGCAUUAGCUAGUUGGUAAGGUAACGGCUUACCAAGGCAACGAUGCAUAGCCGACCUGAGAGGGUGAUCGGCCACACUGGAACUGAGACACGGUCCAGACUCCUACGGGAGGCAGCAGUAGGGAAUCUUCCGCAAUGGGCGAAAGCCUGACGGAGCAACGCCGCGUGAGUGAUGAAGGUCUUCGGAUCGUAAAACUCUGUUAUUAGGGAAGAACAUAUGUGUAAGUAACUGUGCACAUCUUGACGGUACCUAAUCAGAAAGCCACGGCUAACUACGUGCCAGCAGCCGCGGUAAUACGUAGGUGGCAAGCGUUAUCCGGAAUUAUUGGGCGUAAAGCGCGCGUAGGCGGUUUUUUAAGUCUGAUGUGAAAGCCCACGGCUCAACCGUGGAGGGUCAUUGGAAACUGGAAAACUUGAGUGCAGAAGAGGAAAGUGGAAUUCCAUGUGUAGCGGUGAAAUGCGCAGAGAUAUGGAGGAACACCAGUGGCGAAGGCGACUCUCUGGUCUGUAACUGACGCUGAUGUGCGAAAGCGUGGGGAUCAAACAGGAUUAGAUACCCUGGUAGUCCACGCCGUAAACGAUGAGUGCUAAGUGUUAGGGGGUUUCCGCCCCUUAGUGCUGCAGCUAACGCAUUAAGCACUCCGCCUGGGGAGUACGACCGCAAGGUUGAAACUCAAAGGAAUUGACGGGGACCCGCACAAGCGGUGGAGCAUGUGGUUUAAUUCGAAGCAACGCGAAGGACCUUACCAAAUCUUGACAUCCUUUGACAACUCUAGAGAUAGAGCCUUCCCCUUCGGGGGACAAAGUGACAGGUGGUGCAUGGUUGUCGUCAGCUCGUGUCGUGAGAUGUUGGGUUAAGUCCCGCAACGAGCGCAACCCUUAAGCUUAGUUGCCAUCAUUAAGUUGGGCACUCUAAGUUGACUGCCGGUGACAAACCGGAGGAAGGUGGGGAUGACGUCAAAUCAUCAUGCCCCUUAUGAUUUGGGCUACACACGUGCUACAAUGGACAAUACAAAGAGCAGCGAAACCGCGAGGUCAAGCAAAUCCCAUAAAGUUGUUCUCAGUUCGGAUUGUAGUCUGCAACUCGACUACAUGAAGCUGGAAUCGCUAGUAAUCGUAGAUCAGCAUGCUACGGUGAAUACGUUCCCGGGUCU